AACACAUUAGCAGCCACCAAGAAUGAUAGAAAAGUUGUCAUGCUCCUUGACGGGACGUAAAUUUGAAGUUUUCUUGGUAUUAUGAAAAAAACUGCGAGGAUAAUAUGGGUUUAACAAAAAUUGGCUAGGCAGUCAGUCAAUGUGUUAAAGGAACUAUACACAUAAGUAUAUUUUUUUUCUUUAUUAUUAUAUUUCACAAUUGAAAAUAAAAUGCAAGUACUUUAAAAACUUA
This is a long non-coding RNA of Bactrocera neohumeralis, 232 nucleotides long. RefSeq lists it as uncharacterized. NCBI's taxonomy places the organism in Eukaryota, Metazoa, Arthropoda, Insecta, Diptera, Tephritidae. The transcript has 2 exons. The record is from RefSeq and is a predicted model, not a curated record.